UUCGGCAUAUCAAAGAACCCCAAUUAUUCAAUUUUUGAUGAAAUCAAACAAAGUUUAAUUUUGGACCCUUUCGGCCCUUUAUUCCUAAACUGUUGGGACCGAAACUCCCAAAAUCAAUACCAACCUUCCUUUUGUGGUCAUAAACAUUGUGUUUAAAUUUCAUUGAUUUCUAUUUACUUAAACUUAAGUUAUGGUGCGAAAACCAAGAAUAAUGCUUAUUUGGGCCCUUUUUUGGCCCCUAAUUCCUAAACUGUUGGAACCAAAACUCCCAAAAUCAAUCCAACCUUCCUUUUGUGGUCAUAAACCUUGUGUCAAAAUUUCAUAGAUU
Molecule: long non-coding RNA, 328 nt
Filed under: Mytilus galloprovincialis (Mediterranean mussel)
Lineage: Eukaryota; Metazoa; Mollusca; Bivalvia; Mytilida; Mytilidae
Source: RNAcentral